RNAcentral lists this ribosomal RNA (355 nucleotides) under uncultured bacterium. RNAcentral's name for it is "bacterial SSU rRNA". It matches the Rfam family "Bacterial small subunit ribosomal RNA", at positions 22 to 356 of the family's 1533-position model. The record is from RNAcentral.
GCUCAGGAUGAACGCUGGCGGCGUGCUUAACACAUGCAAGUCGAACGAAGAUAUUUAGAAUGAGAGCUUCGGCAGGAUUUUUAUCUAUCUUAGUGGCGGACGGGUGAGUAACGUGUGGGCAACCUGCCCUGUACUGGGGAAUAAUCAUUGGAAACGAUGACUAAUACCGCAUGUGGUCCUCGGAAGGCAUCUUCUGAGGAAGAAAGGAUUUAUUCGGUACAGGAUGGGCCCGCAUCUGAUUAGCUAGUUGGUGAGAUAACAGCCCACCAAGGCGACGAUCAGUAGCCGACCUGAGAGGGUGAUCGGCCACAUUGGGACUGAGACACGGCCCAAACUCCUACGGGAGGCAGCAGUA